Molecule: long non-coding RNA, 772 nt
Organism: Toxotes jaculatrix (banded archerfish)
Lineage: Eukaryota; Metazoa; Chordata; Actinopteri; Toxotidae
Exons: 3
Source: RefSeq, a predicted model, not a curated record
CUCGUGCACAGGUCAGGCUAACGCAAUCAGUAUCACCUGCUCCGCCAUUUGACUGCCUCAUCAGUCAAACGGCUUCAGCUGGACCAGAAGCGGAGUUACGGCGUUGAAUCCCCAAGAACACCAGCACGGCGCUCAUUUGGGACUAUUUACAGCAACCACUUUAGACCGACACCUGAAAAAUCAGCACAGGUAUUCGCAUGAUGGAAAAGUUCCGCUGAAAAGUGGGAAAAUGAGGCUCAGGCCCGAAGAAGCGAACAGACGAUUCCUGCAUGUUUGACCAGCGUCACUCCGGAUGAUAAGAGCAGCGGAACACACCGGGAGCUAACGACGGCCAGAACGCACUACACUGCCGAGGACACGCUGACUGUUAACGCGGUCACCGAAGACGGAUUUAAAAUCCUCCUCCACACGCUGGACACAAGAUCUGUCAUUCCCUGUGGUGCUUGAACUUUACUGCUGUACACAGCUUCAUUCGUUAAAACAGAAGCGUAUCUUUUCAGACUGAAAUAGGACACUGAUGAUUCGAUCAAGUGUGUACAACACCAAUUCAAACUCAUUGAUUAUCUGCCUGACACAUUUCAGACUGUCAGAACUACGAUUCACGUCUGAUUCUAUUAUGAAUUAAAGGGAAAAACGGAGCUGCUCACGUACUGAAGAACGUUUGUUCCGACGGAGGAAACCUUCUCACGUGUUGGACAGACCACGUCCCUGCUGACGUCCAGGUCUGAUGUGAAUUCGGGACUCACAUUGAAAGGUCUGAUACGGACACUUG